Long non-coding RNA from Pantherophis guttatus, 370 nucleotides. RefSeq lists it as uncharacterized. The record is from RefSeq and is a predicted model, not a curated record. NCBI's taxonomy places the organism in Eukaryota, Metazoa, Chordata, Lepidosauria, Squamata, Colubridae.
GGAGCCAUGAAGAAAUGAGAGAGGUUUUCUAAAUACUUCAUAAAUCUUCUGAGAAGUGUGCUAAGAAAGGAGGCACAGUAGCAUCUAAUUAUGUCAAAGGAGAACAAAGACUCAAGAGUUAUUUUACCUUCCGGCUUUUGUUAUACAAGAAGUCACUCACAAUCAGAAAGACUGGAGACUCUGAAAAUGUUUGGGGUGAUGACGGAUGAGGUCACUUCUAUCUUGCUUUGAGCCAGAAAUUCCAGAUGUCAUCAUGAACUGAAAUAUAAUUUGGGAAUGAUAGCAGCAAAACAUAACCAAAUGAAAGAUCACAAGUGCUGCACAAUUUCCUGAACAUCAGCCAAGCCAAUAAAAUGUGGGAUUAUGCAAA